RNAcentral lists this ribosomal RNA (242 nucleotides) under uncultured bacterium. RNAcentral's name for it is "partial 16S ribosomal RNA". It matches the Rfam family "Bacterial small subunit ribosomal RNA", at positions 88 to 334 of the family's 1533-position model. The record is from RNAcentral.
GUGACGAGCGGCGGACGGGUGAGUAAUGUCUGGGAAACUGCCUGAUGAGGGGGAUAACUACUGGAAACGGUAGCUAAUACCGCAUAACGUCUUCGGACCAAAGUGGGGGACCUUCGGGCCUCAUGCCAUCAGAUGUGCCCAGAUGGGAUUAGCUAGUAGGUGGGGUAACGGCUCACCUAGGCGACGAUCCCUAGCUGGUCUGAGAGGAUGACCAGCCACACUGGAACUGAGACACGGUCCAG